This 1394-nucleotide long non-coding RNA is filed under the name Cricetulus griseus (Chinese hamster). RNAcentral describes it as "lncRNA (ENSCGRG00015030829.1)". Lineage: Eukaryota; Metazoa; Chordata; Mammalia; Rodentia; Cricetidae. The record is from RNAcentral.
CUCGCGCUGGGUUGGGGGAACCGGCCUCCCUCAGGCCCCUCCUCUCCUCGGUUCUUGUUUGGCAAACCAGGUAGUCUUUCACCGGUUCCCAACGCCCUGGGGAGGAUUUCAAAACGCAAAAAAAUAAGAGCACUUGGCUCUCUCCGAGUUCGAGACCAGCCUGGUCUACAAGAGCUACUUCCAGGACAGCCUCCAAAGCCACAGAGAAACCCUAUCUGGAUGCUCCCCACCCCAAAAAAAGAGCACUUACAGAGCUUGAAGACUUGAGUUUGAAUCCUUAGUAGCUACAUAAAGAGGAAGGAUUUGUCCUGCGCGAUAGUCUUGUCAGCAAGAACCACACAGGACAUUCGGAUCCUUCUGCAGUAAAGCUUUAAUGCGUCUUGAGAGGAGAGCAUAAGCUUACCAGAGCGGAGACCCCGAGCCAAGAAUCCCGUCCCCUAAUAAAGGCUGGCAACCGCCGCCUUGGACGUGUUACUCUAUGAUUGGCUGCAGCUCAUCGGACCAUAUGACGCCACGGAAGAGGCAGAGAUCAAGGAAUGGAAAGUUACCCAGCGCCUGCGCGCAUUAACUUGUUUACAUUCGGUGCCUGCCGGAUGCAGGCGCCAUCUUGUAAUGGAGAAUGCAGGGACGGCUCCCUACAAGGAUUGGCUCAAAUAAUAGAGGUAAGGAUGUGAGACAAAGAAAUCAAACAGCUCCAAGUCACAAGGUGGCAUGUGGAGUGGCGAAGUCUGAAUCCAUACAACUUAAUGCCAGGGGCUGUUCUUUUCCCAGUACCAUAUGGUUCCCCACUAAGCUGCCAAUAUGUUCAUCUUUCUUUUCAUCCACUUCCUCUCUUGUUGGAGGUCUAACGCAUGGUCCAUCACCCACACCAGGCAGGCACUAUACCAUCGAGCCACAUCCCCAUCAUGUCUGUCUGUCUUUCUGGUAAUAAGCAUGGAUUAAAUUUGAAGUAAGAGAAAAGGUUGUUUUAACUUUAAAAGCAUUCACAAUAAUUUAAAUAGCCCAAUUCUCAGGGACUGGAAAGAGUGGAGAAAACACUGGGUGUUCUUACAGAGAUCCUCAGUUCAAUUCCCAACAAUGGCAGCUCACAACCAUCUAUAAUGGGAUCUGAUGCCCUCUUCUGUCAUGCAGGCACACAUGCAACUAGAGCACUCAUGUACAAAAGAUAAAUAAAUCUUUUUUUUAAAUAGCCCUUUAUUCACUGAAUAUCAAAACACCUACAUGCCUAAUGUUGAUUUUAAGAAGUAAAUAAUAGCUUUUUUAAAAAGACAAAAUCCUAGCUAGGCAGUGGUGACGCAUGCUUUUAAACCCGGCACUCAAGAGUUAGAGGCAGCAGAUCUUUAUGAGUUUGAGCUCAGCCUGGUCUACAGAAUGAGUUUCAGGACAGCCAGAGC